UCAGGUAUGACAAAGAAUUGGGUUUUGCUAUAUAAGCAAUCUGAAUUUUUUAACACUGUAGUGCAGGAAGAUACCCUCAAGCAGGGGGGAGCGGAGCUGGAAUUCGUGUUGUGUGAGCCUGUGAUUAGUAUCAGUUUGAUCCUCCAGAAGGAGACAGAAAUGAAGCAGCCCACUCCUGUUUCCGUAUCGCAGACAUACAUCCUUUUCACAUCUUCAGCCUGUCUAUUUCCAUGCUUCUGAGUGGGAGAGGUUUGUUGAGAGAGACAGAGCAUGAACGGGGGAGGGUCAGAGAGAGAG
This is a long non-coding RNA of Lynx canadensis (Canada lynx), 297 nucleotides long. RefSeq lists it as uncharacterized. The transcript has 4 exons. The record is from RefSeq and is a predicted model, not a curated record. NCBI's taxonomy places the organism in Eukaryota, Metazoa, Chordata, Mammalia, Carnivora, Felidae.